AUUGAACGCUGGCGGAAUGCUUUACACAUGCAAGUCGAACGGCAGCACGGACUUCGGUCUGGUGGCGAGUGGCAAACGGGUGAGUAAUGUAUCGGAACGUGCCCAGUCGUGGGGGAUAACGUAGUGAAAAUUACGCUAAUACCGCAUACGAUCUAUGGAUGAAAGCGGGGGAUCGCAAGACCUCGCGCGAUUGGAGCGGCCGAUAUCAGAUUAGGUAGUUGGUGGGGUAAAGGCCCACCAAGCCAACGAUCUGUAGCUGGUCUGAGAGGACGACCAGCCACACUGGAACUGAGACACGGUCCAGACUCCUACGGAGGCAGCAGUGGGAAUUUUGGACAAUGGGCGAAAGCCUGAUCCAGCCAUUCCGCGUGCAGGAUGAAGGCCCUCGGGUUGUAAACUGCUUUUGUACAGAACGAAAAGGUUUCUACUAAUACUAGGAGCUCAUGACGGUACUGUAAGAAUAAGCACCGGCUAACUACGUGCCAGCAGCCGACGG
RNAcentral lists this ribosomal RNA (496 nucleotides) under uncultured bacterium. RNAcentral's name for it is "bacterial SSU rRNA". It matches the Rfam family "Bacterial small subunit ribosomal RNA", at positions 30 to 520 of the family's 1533-position model. The record is from RNAcentral.